GCCCCGACCCGGCUCCGGCCCCGGCCCCUGCCCGCGUCCGGCGCCCGCCUUACGCUGCCUUCGUAGCGUAGCGCCCGGCCCGGGCCCCGCGGCUACGGCGCGCCCGGGGCGCACGCGGCGCUGUGAAUCGCGCGCCCGGACUACGGCUCCCACAGGGCUGCGCGGCGCCGACGGGGCGGAAGCUCGGGGCGGUGCCUGCGCGAGGCAGGCCGGGAGUUGUAGUCCUCGGGUGGCGCCCUCCCAGUCCGCCGACCGCCCGGGCCACUUCUCCUGCCCUCGCUGCUGGAGACGGCCGGGCCCGAGGCCUCGGUCCCCGGGAGGCGCCGCGCUCCAGGAUUAUCAGGGAGUGGGGCGGCCCGAGGAGGAGCUGGAACUACAACUCCCAGAGGGCCUUGCGAGGGGCACGGAGGGGCGGGGCCUGCAGCCGCGGCGUCUGCGCAUCAGCGGCGUCACAGACGCGUGGGGCUCGCGGGGAGCCGGGCUGGGGCCGUCCGUGUCCCGCGGGGCUCUGGGCGGCCGCUCGACCGAGGACCCACGACUCCGCCCCGACCCCGCCGUGUUCGCGAGACCCGGAGACCCCUUCGCGCCUUCCAGGACCGCCCCUUUCGCGACGCUGCGUGCUGUGCUUGGUCCUGGCGGCCAAGAGCGGCGGUGGCAAGGGGACCGCCCUGGCCCGAGACGCGGCCUGGCCUCGCAGCGUCGCUUGGGCACAGCCUCUCUAGGCCCCUUCGUCCUCGGUCGCGGAGGGACGCCAUUAAACGGCCACGCCGGGCUCAACUGGGACGCGGCCCACGGCGCCCAACCAGGGCCUGGGGGAGGGAAGCCGGGGCGACUCCUGGGUCCUUCCAGGACCCUUGCGCAGGCCUCAUUCUCUCCCCGGAGGUCCCCUUCCCGCUGCCCUGAGGCCACUCUCCUGCCAGCAGCUGCUGGGCCGGCUCUCGGGAGAAUGCCUUGGCGUCAAGCUUAUCAGGCUGCAGGGCGGGACGCGAGUGCUGAGGGCAGCCAGACUCCCGCUCUUAGGUGCACUUGAGGAGCCUGAGAAGGCAGUGGCUCUGCGGGAGAGGGAGACACAGGAGCAGGGCUGGUCCGCCGAGAUUCCGGAGAGACGGUUGUGGGCCGAUUCUGUGGCGAGAUUUACAAGUGGGAGGUUGGGUGACGAUUGCUCCUGGGCCAGAAAAUCUAAGCCAGUCUCAGCAAGACCUACAAGGCCAGGGCCAGUGCUCCUCAGAGGAUAUUCAUGCUCCAGGAAAGCCAAGGAUGGGCCUCCGUCAUGCUGAGAUGCCGCAGCAGGGACACCUGUGUCCCACGUGGAGCUCGGCUUCUAGCUGCAGUCAGUGCAGAAGCUGGCAGGAGGGGUUUAUUUCUGUCCUCGGAAGCUUUUGGUAAGGACACUUCAUUCCUGUGUCUUGGACACCUCCCCCUAGGUCUGCUGCCCCCUCUGUGGAGACAGGCAGGGCAGCUGGAUGUGCCGUUUGUUCCCAGACUAUAUCCAUGCCAAAGCAUCCCAAGGGCAGGAAAUGUGUCCCCGGGGGCCAGUGGGGGUCUGGGGGCACAGAGGGCUGCAGAGUGAGAGCUGGCUCUCCUCUCUGCAACUUGGACAAGGCUCUGGGACCCUGUCCUCCCCAGCUUCCUCACCUGCAUGGCAGGAUACUGGCCAAGUGUGGCUUUCGAACCACAGGAGAGGGUGCAGUCAAGGCCUCACUCAGGGACCGCAGGUUCUCUUCCCUUCCCAGUCCUUCCCUGGCACUGCCUAGGUGGCUCCCUGGCCAGGGGCCAGUGGUCUAGCCAGCAGGCCUUAUAACCUCCCCACCAGAGAGGCAGCUGCAGUUGAACCUGUUGAUCUGAUGCUGAGGGCCCUGCCAGCUCACUGCAGAGUGGCCAGUUCUGGCCAGUUUUGCUAGGCCAGGCCCAUUUGGGGUGAGGAGAGGGUGGGAGCACCCCAGCUCUCCCCAGUAGCCUGUCAUGGUGAAGGAGGAAGCCCAUUCACCCAGAAGAGGGCCUCAGGAGGCGUCUUCAAGGUGACUGAGGUUUCCCCGCACAAGGAGAGUGCUGGAGGGAAUGGGUGCGAUGAGAGAAAUGAGUCACUCGUGCCUCCGUGAGGCCAGCCUGUGAUUGUCUUGAAGAUUCUGAGUCACAAGACAUCAGGCACACAGGCGUGAAUUGUAAAUGACUGCACAGCAGAAGGUAAGUGACUCUGGAUUAUCCAGACCAUUGACCGAGCCCUGCUCCGUGCCAGUGCUUCCUGGCCUGAGGACACGACUCUCACAUCCAGACAGACCUGAGCAGCUAACGCAAGUGCGCAGAAGCUCGCCAAGUGCCCAGAAGAGCCAAGAGGCGAGCCAUGAAUCCCCCCUGGAGGAGAAGAGGAUGGGGAGGGCCAAACAGAAAGAACUGAAACUGGAGGCAUCUGUUCAGGCACCCAGAGAAAGCCUCACGCGCACAAAGCAGCAAACAGAACAAACCCCAGUGCCAUCAUGGAGCCCAGACUUGAGCACACAGGGACCCUGGCGUGGAGCACGAGGGUGCCAAGGCCCGCAGGUGGCUGACUUGUGUGCUCUGGUGCCAUGCUCAGAUUUGAUGGGAUGACCCUGCAAUUGCCUGCUUUGUGAGCCACACAGGCCUGGGUCAAAAAGACGACGGACCACCAGCCUGGGCAACACACAAAGCGAAACCUGUCUCCACUUAAAAGAUAAUUAGGGUGUGGUGGUGUGUGCUUGUGGUCCCUGCUACUUGGGAGGCAGAGGCAGGAGCAUCACUUGAGCCCGGGAGGUUGAGGCUGCAGUGAGCUGGGAUGGCACAUGGCGCUCCAGCCUGGGUGACUGAGUCCGUCUCAAAAAAAGAAUGGGCGGCCGGACAGGUGAAAAUAACAAUGGACGGGGCCCUGGGAGAAGUUCCCGCCUUUCUCUGGGCCACCACCUCCAGGUUACUGGACUGCCAGCAGGUAGAGGGGCCAGGGUGCCAUCCGGGGGGCCGCUGAGGGGGUCCAGACUUCCUAUACCUGCCCUUCAGCAGAGGCAGGCUGGGGCGGUCCUCAUGUGAGGGGCUCUGCACCCACAUCCGGGGGGCCGCUGAGGGGGUCCAGCCUUCCUAUACCUGCCCUUCAGCAGAGGCAGGAUGGGGCGGUCCUCAUGUGAGGGGCUCUGCACCCACGUCCGGGGCUCUUGUUCCAGGGCAGGGGCAGAGCCGCUCCUCUCUAUCCUGCCGGGCAAGACUCCUUGGUGCUCUUCCAUCGGGCAGAACUGACCAAGACUCAGAACAUUCAAUGUCAGGAGCCAGCUGGGGACAGGAUCUGCCUUGGGAGACUUGGCAGGCCCAGUGACCAUCCCACUGCACAGCUGGGGGUGGGGGCGACACUCCAGAGGGACACGUUCGGGCCUCCUGGGGGGUGCAGGCUUCUGGGCACGUCCACCAGGCAUGCACACCGGCCACCCCACCCUGCUCUCGCUCACCCACAAGGUCUCUGGCAGCCCUUCCGGGAAUGUUUCCAUUUCAUCCUGUGUCCUCCUGUCUCAAACUCCUUUGGGCUGGAGACCCCAGUGGGUCAUCGAGGUGGGGCCAGCUGGACUGUGGACAGCCCCAUGUUUAAAAUCUAGCGUGGAAACUGAGGUGCUCCUAGACCACAGUGGGGUAUCAGGAGGAGGAAGCUGCUCCCCUUCCCCUCCCUGGCUCUGGCCUGGCAGCGUGGAGUGAGUUCCCCUCCCCACCUCCAGCUUCUCCCUCUAGGCAGAGAUGGGUCUUACUGGCACCACACAGACCCCUGGGUAGGUGGGAGAGCAGGUCUUUUUCCUGGGAGGAGGAACUUGGCCUUGGACACACCCACACCGCCCAUGUCACUCCUCAGUUCUUUUUUUUUUUGAGACGGAGUCUCGCUCUGUUGCCCAGGCUGGAGUGCGGUGGCGUGAUCGCUGCUCACUGCAAGCUCCACCUCCCAGGUUCACGCCAUUCUCAUGCCUCAGCCUCCCAAGUAGCUGGGACUACAGGUGCCGGCCACCACGCCCGGCUAAUUUUUUUGUAUUUUUAGUAGAGACGUGGUUUCACCAUGUUAGCCAGGAUGGUCUCGAUUUCCUGACCUUGUGAUCCGCCUGCCUGGGCCUCCCAAAGUGCUGGGAUUACAGGCGUGAGCCACCGCGCCCGGCCUGUCACUCCUCAGUUCUAACUCAUGAAGCAAUCAGGGUUCUUGGGCCCUGUGACCUGGAACCAUUCUGCUGCACCUGCACUGAGGGUUCAAGGACUCCUCACUGUAGGCCACGCCUGGUCCUCUUCUGGUCACCAGCCCGCAAGCAGCAGCUGGGCUGAGGGGACUGGCAGACCUGGGUCCUCAGCUUCCCUGGGCCUUGGUUUCUCCAUCUCCAUCUGCAUCUGAGAGUGACAGGCAGGCGGGCAUCUCGCGCGGGGGGCGGGAGAGCGAGAGCCGCAGAUGCACAGUCCGCUUCCUGGAUGCUGGACCAGGUGGUCCAGUUUUCAAGGCUUGUGUUUUUGGGGGACUCUUGAUCAGAUGGGACCACUCCCCGCAGGCCAUUCUUUGUGGCUGCAGUGGCACUGAGCUCUCUCAGACUCCCUGGCUGCCCAUGACCUCGGGAGCCCACUUCCGUCGGGACCUGCCUCCUCACCUUCCCGUGCCUGUGGUGCUGGUACUGUGUCUGCCCCCUCUUCUGGGGGAUGUCCUCCCACCACCCUGCACAUCACUGCCCUUUUAAAUUCUUUCUGAAAUGGGGUCUCGCUGUCGCCCAGGCUGGAGUGCAGCGGUGUGAUCACAGCUCACUGUAACCUCCGUCUCCUGGACUCAAGCAAUUCUCCCACCUCAGCCUCCCAAGGAACUGGGACUAUAGGUGCGCACCACAAUGCCUGGUUAAUUUUUUAUUUUUUAGAGAUGGGGCCUUGCUAUGUUGCCCAGGCUGGUCUUGAACUCCCGGGUUCAAGCGAUCCUCCUGCCUUGGCCUCCCAAAGUGCUGAGAUUAUGGCGUGAGCCUCUGCGCCCUGCCCCCCACUCUUCUCUUAAUCCCGGGGACGUUUUGACGGCUCUCCCGACAUGGGACGUACGUCCCCAGAGGCGUGUGACCCAGAGCCCUGAUGCCCACACAGCCCUGUGCUGCCCAAUUUGCCCCGCCCCACCUGCCCCACCUUGAUGCUGUCUCAGCAGCUCGUCAGGAUCCAGAACCUGGCUGGAAAGCUGCCAGGCUCCACUGGGCCUGGAGGUGCAAUCCUACGGCCUUGGAAGGGUCUUAGUCUGACCAAGCUGCAGAGCCAGGCAGGUCUGCUGGGUUCUGAGCUCAGACAACUGAUGGCCUCGGACGCCUUGAGGGAAGCUGGGCCAGGCCCAGAAGACUCCCACCCCACCCUGUGGCCCCCCUGGAGGAAGAAGCCGGCCUCUGC
Molecule: long non-coding RNA, 5373 nt
Filed under: Homo sapiens (human)
Lineage: Eukaryota; Metazoa; Chordata; Mammalia; Primates; Hominidae
Description: non-protein coding LINC00235:1
Source: RNAcentral